UAGGCCUGGCUAAACGCGCGUCGGCGCGCGCAUACCACCUGCACAUGCAGACUGCUGGUUUCGGUGAAGCGAAACACCUAAACACUGCACUGGGAACGGCAAAUAGCACUCACGUCGAGCGGUUCACUUGGAAUAUUUGUAACGCAUUUGGGACUACAUGUGUCGGGCUCCUUUGAUGCAUUCGCCCUGUGCUCCAUAGACGUCAUCGCAGAUCAGCAAUGAUUGGACAAUAACAAGCGGUGUUCGGGGUGACUGAGUGACUGACUGUUGGACAACUAACGCCGUAGCUCAACUGGUAGAACAUCACAAGCGUCAUGGCGGAGAAUACUGAUUCAGAUCCAACCGACGGUGGGAAUUGUACCUGGCCCACGGAGUGCGAAACGAGCACACUUCCCCGACACCAUGGCGACUUCACGAUUCUAUUUGACAAAGGUGUGCCCAGUGCGUGCGUCAUUGCACACGUCACAUCGAAAGGCGUGGCGUAGUGUGGGCGUCAUUUGGCACGUGACGGCGCAACCAAUGGGAGCGAGGUGGCGCCACGUCAU
Long non-coding RNA from Dermacentor albipictus, 545 nucleotides. RefSeq lists it as uncharacterized. NCBI's taxonomy places the organism in Eukaryota, Metazoa, Arthropoda, Arachnida, Ixodida, Ixodidae. The record is from RefSeq and is a predicted model, not a curated record.